Molecule: ribosomal RNA, 438 nt
Filed under: uncultured bacterium
Lineage: Bacteria
Description: partial 16S ribosomal RNA
Rfam family: Bacterial small subunit ribosomal RNA
Source: RNAcentral
CUACGGGUUGCAGCAGUGAGGAAUAUUGCACAAUGGAGGAAACUCUGAUGCAGCAACGCCGCGUGGAGGAUGACGCAUUUCGGUGUGUAAACUCCUUUUAUAUGUCAAGAAAAUGACGGUAGCAUAUGAAUAAGCACCGGCUAACUCCGUGCCAGCAGCCGCGGUAAUACGGAGGGUGCAAGCGUUACUCGGAAUCACUGGGCGUAAAGGACGCGUAGGCGGGAUAUCAAGUCAGGUGUGAAAUCCUACAGCUUAACUGUAGAACUGCACUUGAAACUGGUAACCUAGAGUAUGGGAGGGGAGAUGGAAUUAGUGGUGUAGGGGUAAAAUCCGUAGAUAUCACUAGGAAUACCUAAAGCGAAGGCGAUCUCCUGGAAUAUAACUGACGCUAAGGCGUGAAAGCGUGGGGAGCAAACAGGAUUAGAUACCCUCGUAGUC